AGACAUUUAAUCUCAAUGGUCGUUGUACAGCGAUGAGAACGACGCUGUACUGUGUGUACAACAAGUAUAUAAAAGUUUGCGACCGUAAUAGAAAACCAUUGAAUGUUAACGUCAAGAGUGAAGAGGAAGGAGUUGUGGGUGAAGUUGUGGGCUUAGGAUUAUCCAGAGGCUUACCGGAAGCGCCGGCCAGUUUACCAAAGCAGAAUGCAACUUCGUCGUAAUCGGACACAUACAUUUAUUCUUGUUUAAUGUGGUCGAAAAUGAAGUCAAAUAAAAUUUUUAGAAAUUAGCAUGAUAA
This is a long non-coding RNA of Folsomia candida, 298 nucleotides long. RefSeq lists it as uncharacterized. The transcript is spliced from 2 exons. The record is from RefSeq and is a predicted model, not a curated record. Lineage: Eukaryota; Metazoa; Arthropoda; Collembola; Entomobryomorpha; Isotomidae.